UGGGGAAUAUUGCACAAUGGGGGGAACCCUGAUGCAGCGACGCCGCGUGGAGGAAGAAGUAUUUCGGUACGUAAACUCCUAUCAGCAGGGAAGAUGAUGACGGUACCUGACUAAGAAGCCCCGGCUAACUACGUGCCAGCAGCCGCGGUAAUACGUAGGGGGCAAGCGUUAUCCGGAUUUACUGGGUGUAAAGGGAGCGUAGGCGGCGGUGCAAGUCAGCAGUGAAAACCCGGGGCCCAACUCCGGGCAUGCUGUUGAAACUGCAUUGCUUGAUUCCGGGAGGGGUAAGCGGAAUUCCUGGUGUAGCGGUGAAAUGCGUAGAUAUCAGGAGGAACACCGGUGGCGAAGGCGGCUUACUGGACCGGCAAUGACGCUGAGGCUCGAAAGCGUGGGGAGCAAACAGG
Molecule: ribosomal RNA, 404 nt
Filed under: uncultured prokaryote
Also listed under: 1 other name
Description: bacterial SSU rRNA
Rfam family: Bacterial small subunit ribosomal RNA
Source: RNAcentral